GUGGGGAAUAUUGCGCAAUGGAGGAAACUCUGACGCAGCAACGCCGCGUGAAGGAAGAAGGCCUUCGGGUUGUAAACUUCUUUGACCGGGGACGAAUAAUGACGGUACCCGGGGAACAAGCCACGGCUAACUACGUGCCAGCAGCCGCGGUAAUACGUAGGUGGCGAGCGUUGUCCGGAAUUACUGGGUGUAAAGGGCGCGCAGGCGGGAAUACAAGUCUGAUGUGAAAUUCUGCGGCUUAACUGCAGGGCUGCAUCAGAAACUGUAUUUCUUGAGUGCUGGAGAGGAAAGCGGAAUUCCCAGUGUAGCGGUGAAAUGCGUAGAUAUUGGGAGGAACACCAGUGGCGAAGGCGGCUUUCUGGACAGCAACUGACGCUGAGGCGCGAAAGCGUGGGGAGCAAACAGGAUUAGAAACCCGGGUAGUCC
Molecule: ribosomal RNA, 426 nt
Filed under: uncultured bacterium
Lineage: Bacteria
Description: bacterial SSU rRNA
Rfam family: Bacterial small subunit ribosomal RNA
Source: RNAcentral